NUCGACCUCAGGUCGGGCGAGAGGACCCGCUGGAUUUAAGCAUAUCACUAAGCGGAGGAAAAGAAACUAACCAGGAUUCCCCCAGUAGCGGCGAGCGAAGCGGGAAGAGCCCAGCGCCGAAUCCCNGGNNCCCCCCNCGGGCCGGAGGGAACUGUGGCGUAAGGAAGUCCGAGCCGCGGCCGGGCGGCGCCGAGGUCCUUCUGAUCGAGGCCCCCUCCGUCCCAUGGCGGGUGUCAGGCCUGCGGGCGCGGCCGGCCGCGGACCAGGGCUUCCGGGAGUCGGGUUGUUUUGUAGCGCAGCCCAAAGGCGGGUGGUAAACUCCAUCCAAGGCUAAAUACCUGCACGAGACCGAUAGAGCACAAGUACCGUGAGGGAAAGU
This 379-nucleotide ribosomal RNA is filed under the name Asterina gibbosa (in: starfish). RNAcentral's name for it is "Asterina gibbosa (Pennant, 1777) eukaryotic LSU rRNA". It matches the Rfam family "Eukaryotic large subunit ribosomal RNA", at positions 1 to 364 of the family's 3401-position model. The record is from RNAcentral. Lineage: Eukaryota; Metazoa; Echinodermata; Asteroidea; Valvatida; Asterinidae.